Molecule: ribosomal RNA, 253 nt
Filed under: uncultured bacterium
Lineage: Bacteria
Description: partial 16S ribosomal RNA
Rfam family: Bacterial small subunit ribosomal RNA
Source: RNAcentral
UACAGAGGUCUCAAGCGUUGUUCGGAUUCAUUGGGCGUAAAGGGUGCGUAGGUGGCGCGCUAAGUCAGGUGUGAAAUUUCGGAGCUUAACUCCGAAACUGCAUUUGAUACUGGCGUGCUUGAGGACUGGAGAGGAGACUGGAAUUCAUGGUGGAGCGGUGAAAUGCGUUGAUAUCUACAGGAACUCCGGUGGCGAAAGCGGCGUGCUGGACCUUUUCUGACGCUGAGGCGCGAAAGCUAGGGGAGCAAACGGG